RNAcentral lists this ribosomal RNA (429 nucleotides) under Gemmatimonadota bacterium. RNAcentral's name for it is "Gemmatimonadetes bacterium partial 16S ribosomal RNA". It matches the Rfam family "Bacterial small subunit ribosomal RNA", at positions 355 to 776 of the family's 1533-position model. The record is from RNAcentral. Lineage: Bacteria; Pseudomonadati; Gemmatimonadota.
UAGGGAAUCUUCUGCAAUGGACGAAAGUCUGACCGAGCAACGCCGCGUGAGUGAAGAAGGUUUUCGGAUCGUAAAACUCUGUUGUUAGAGAAGAACAAGGACGUUAGUAACUGAACGUCCACUGACGGUAUCUAACCAGAAAGCCACGGCUAACUACGUGCCAGCAGCCGCGGUAAUACGUAGGUGGCAAGCGUUGUCCGGAUUUAUUGGGCGUAAAGCGAGCGCAGGCGGUUUCUUAAGUCUGGUGUGAAAGCCCCCGGCUCAACCGGGGAGGGUCAUUGGAAACUGGGAGACUUGAGUGCAGAAGAGGAGAGUAGAAUUCCAUGUGUAGCGGUGAAAUGCGUAGAUAUAUGGAGGAACACCAGUGGCGAAGGCGGCUCUCUGGUCUGUAACUGACGCUGAGGCUCGAAAGCGUGGGGAGCAAACAGG